Molecule: ribosomal RNA, 242 nt
Filed under: uncultured bacterium
Lineage: Bacteria
Description: partial 16S ribosomal RNA
Rfam family: Bacterial small subunit ribosomal RNA
Source: RNAcentral
CGCGUGAGGAACCUGCCUUGGAGAGGGGAAUAACACAGUGAAAAGUUGUGCUAAUACCGCAUGACGCAGUUGGGCCGCAUGGCCCUGGCUGCCAAAGAUUUAUCGCUCUGAGAUGGCCUCGCGUCUGAUUAGCUGGUUGGUGGGGUAACGGCCCACCAAGGCGACGAUCAGUAGCCGGACUGAGAGGUUGACCGGCCACAUUGGGACUGAGACACGGCCCAGACUCCUACGGGAGGCAGCAG